GACGAACGCUGGCGGCGUGCUUAACACAUGCAAGUCGAACGGAAACGCACUGCUUGCUGGCUACUCGGGUGGCGAACGGGCGGGUAACACGUGGGUGAACUGCCCUGUACUUCGGGGUAAGCCUUGACGAAUGGGUCCAUUACCUGAUAGCGGCCACUAUCUGUGUGAUGGUUGGAAAGAUUUUUCGGUGUAGGAUGAGCGCGCGGGCUAAAGGCUGGUUGGGGGGGUAAUGGCCUACUAAGGCGGCAACGGGUAGCUGGCCUGGGGGGGUGGGCGGCGGCACUGGGUCUGAGGGACGGCCCAGGCGCCGACGGGAGGCAGAUGGGGGGAAGAUUGCACCAUGGGUGCCAGCCUGGUGCAGCGACGCCGCGUGGUGGAUGACGGCCUUCGGGUUGUAAACACCCUUCGCUAGGGACGAAGCUUUUUGUGACGGUACCUAGAUAAGAAGCACCGGCUAACUACGUG
Molecule: ribosomal RNA, 465 nt
Filed under: uncultured bacterium
Lineage: Bacteria
Description: partial 16S ribosomal RNA
Rfam family: Bacterial small subunit ribosomal RNA
Source: RNAcentral